ACCUACUGUUUAAUUUUGAGGGUUCGUUUUUACGAAUACUCAAAAUUAGCACUUUAAGCAACAGAAUAAACUGAACGCAUGUGAAGUUUGUUUGUUGGCGACGUGCUUUAGCACUUUAAGUAACGGAAUAAUCUGAGUGAAUACGAAGGUUGUUCGUUGACGUGGUGCGUUAGCACUUUAAGCAACGGGAUUUAUCCGUUGGCGCUGUGCGUUAGCACUUUGAAAACUGCAUAUAUAUUUAGUGAUAUGACAUCUAAUUUGUAAUAUAUAAAGUUGAUAACUUUUUAAAAUUAUCGAAGUUGAUAGCUUCUAAUCUAUCAAACCUUUUUAACUGGUCAA
This 339-nucleotide unclassified non-coding RNA is filed under the name Clostridioides difficile. Its description in RNAcentral is "16S-23S ribosomal RNA intergenic spacer (ISR)". Lineage: Bacteria; Bacillati; Bacillota; Clostridia; Peptostreptococcales; Peptostreptococcaceae. The record is from RNAcentral.